RNAcentral lists this ribosomal RNA (430 nucleotides) under uncultured bacterium. Its description in RNAcentral is "bacterial SSU rRNA". It matches the Rfam family "Bacterial small subunit ribosomal RNA", at positions 14 to 457 of the family's 1533-position model. The record is from RNAcentral.
UGAUCAUGGCUCAGAUUGAACGCUGGCGGCAUGCCUAACACAUGCAAGUCGAACGCGAAAGCCUUCGGGUGAGUAGAGUGGCGGACGGGUGAGUAACGCGUGGGAAUCUGCCCUGCAGUGGGGAACAACCCGGGGAAACUCGGGCUAAUACCGCAUACGUCCUAUGGGAGAAAGGGGGCUUCGGCUCUCGCUGCAGGAUGAGCCCGCGUCCGAUUAGCUUGUUGGUAGGGUAACGGCCUACCAAGGCAACGAUCGGUAGCUGGUCUGAGAGGAUGACCAGCCACACUGGGACUGAGACACGGCCCAGACUCCUACGGGAGGCAGCAGUGGGGAAUUUUCCGCAAUGGGCGAAAGCCUGACGGAGCAACGCCGCGUGAGGGAUGAAGGCCUCUGGGCUGUAAACCUCUUUUCUCAAGGAAGAAGAACUGAC